Molecule: unclassified non-coding RNA, 573 nt
Filed under: Hevea brasiliensis (rubber tree)
Lineage: Eukaryota; Viridiplantae; Streptophyta; Magnoliopsida; Malpighiales; Euphorbiaceae
Source: RNAcentral
AAUUAUUUGAAUUUCACAUUCACUUAUUCCAAUCAUAAUGUUACAACUUAUCAAAUGUGAAUCACAAGUCUGAAAUGGUUGUUAGUAAAGAAGGAAUGGCUCUAGCAAAACGGCAUGGAUUUUUGUUUGUUGAAACUAGUGCUAAAAUUAAAGAGAAAGUAGAGAAAUGUUUCCAAGAUCUAGCACUCAAGGUACUCUACCACUCAACCAUCUAUUGAUUAAUUUAGAAUUAUUUGGCAAUCACCCACAUCAACUCGAGCUAUCUAUCAAUAACAAAAACUUUAACUGAUUGUGUUGUAGAUUCUGGAGGGAAGAGAUAAGAAACGGCUGGAGGAGGAACAAAACAACAAACCGCCAGAACAGAAAACACGCCAACCAUCAAAAGGGGAAGAAAAGGAGGAGAGGAGACCAAUAUAUGAACCAGAUAGGUGGUGGAGUUUAAACUAGCAAAACCUUCAUACCCAGGACCACCAGCAAGCAAUAACUGUUCCUGUUAACAUUCUUUCAAGCGCCAUCACAGCCACAGGGCUGUGCUUAGAUCAAAACUAGAGGAGUAUCUAUUAUCAAGAACCA